UACGUAGGGUCCGAGCGUUGUCCGGAAUUAUUGGGCGUAAAGAGCUCGUAGGCGGUUUGUCGCGUCUGCUGUGAAAUCCCGAGGCUCAACCUCGGGUCUGCAGUGGGUACGGGCAGACUGGAGUGCGGUAGGGGAGAAUGGAAUUCCCGGUGUAGCGGUGAAAUGCGCAGAUAUCGGGAAGAACACCCGUGGCGAAGGCGGUUCUCUGGGACGGUACUGACGCUGAGACGCGAAAGCGUGGGGAGCGAACAGG
RNAcentral lists this ribosomal RNA (253 nucleotides) under uncultured bacterium. RNAcentral describes it as "partial 16S ribosomal RNA". It matches the Rfam family "Bacterial small subunit ribosomal RNA", at positions 524 to 776 of the family's 1533-position model. The record is from RNAcentral.